Molecule: unclassified non-coding RNA, 555 nt
Filed under: Cladosporium halotolerans
Lineage: Eukaryota; Fungi; Ascomycota; Dothideomycetes; Cladosporiales; Cladosporiaceae
Description: sequence contains ITS1, 5.8S rRNA gene and ITS2
Rfam family: 5.8S ribosomal RNA (bases 197-350)
Source: RNAcentral
UCCGGUAGUGGAACCUGCGGGAGGGAUCAUUUCCAAGUUGACCCCCGGCCCCCCGGGCCCGGGAUGUUCACCAACCCUUUGUUGUCCGACUCUGUUGCCUCCGGGGCGACCCUGCCUCCGGGCGGGGGCCCCGGGGUGGACACUUCAAAACUCUUGCGUAACUUUGCAGUCUGAGUAAAUUUAAUUAAUAAAUUAAAACUUUCAACAACGGAUCUCUUGGUUCUGGCAUCGAUGAAGAACGCAGCGAAAUGCGAUAAGUAAUGUGAAUUGCAGAAUUCAGUGAAUCAUCGAAUCUUUGAACGCACAUUGCGCCCCCUGGUAUUCCGGGGGGCAUGCCUGUUCGAGCGUCAUUUCACCACUCAAGCCUCGCUUGGUAUUGGGCGACGCGGUCCGCCGCGCGCCUCAAAUCGACCGGCUGGGUCUUUCGUCCCCUCAGCGUUGUGGAAACUAUUCGCUAAAGGGUGCCGCGGGAGGCCACGCCGUAAAACAACCCCAUUUUCCAAGGUUGACCUCGGAUCAGGUAGGGAUACCCGCUGAACUUAAGCAUAUCAAUAA